AAUUUUGGCCACCACUUGGAGCUCCUCGAUCCCAGGAACCCUAGGACAAGGUACUACUCUAGCAUCAACCCCCUUGUCUCUACACACCCAUGCCAUACGAUCCCACCAUAAUCAACCCACUACCUUCAACAUCACCACCAUCUAAUCCAACUUUAUCACUGCCUCUCAUAAGCAUCCUUAAUGGUUUAACGACCCCUCUUUCCAAACAUGGGAAGUUGGGAACAAGACCUUUGCUACCA
Molecule: long non-coding RNA, 239 nt
Filed under: Elaeis guineensis (African oil palm)
Lineage: Eukaryota; Viridiplantae; Streptophyta; Magnoliopsida; Arecales; Arecaceae
Description: long non-coding RNA (EGUI_LNC072374)
Source: RNAcentral